GAAAUGCGAUAAGUAAUGUGAAUUGCAGAAUUCAGUGAAUCAUCGAAUCUUUGAACGCACCUUGCGCUCCUUGGUAUUCCUUGGAGCAUGCCUGAUUGAGUAUCAUGAAAUCUUCAAAGUAAAUCUUUUGUUAACUCAAUUGGUUUCUACUUUGGUAUUGGAGGUCUUUGCAGCUUCACACCUGCUCCUCUUUGUUCAUUAGCUGGAUCUCAGUGUUAUGCUUGGUUCCACUCGGCGUGAUAAGUUAUCUAUCGCUGAGGACACUGUAAAAGGUGGCCAAGGUAAAUGCAGAUGAACCGCUUCUAAUAGUCCAUUGACUUGGACAAUACUUUUAUGAUCUGAUCUCAAAUCAGGUAGGACUACCCGCUGAACUUAAG
Molecule: unclassified non-coding RNA, 377 nt
Filed under: plant metagenome
Description: partial contains 5.8S ribosomal RNA, internal transcribed spacer 2, and large subunit ribosomal RNA
Rfam family: 5.8S ribosomal RNA (bases 1-105)
Source: RNAcentral